Long non-coding RNA from Manis javanica (Malayan pangolin), 681 nucleotides. RefSeq lists it as uncharacterized. NCBI's taxonomy places the organism in Eukaryota, Metazoa, Chordata, Mammalia, Pholidota, Manidae. The record is from RefSeq and is a predicted model, not a curated record.
UGCGACUGCACCUUCCAAAGUGGCUCCCUCAGGGUCCGUGAUGGGGGAGGCUGGUGGGGAAACCAGAGUGGCUCAUGGAGUUGGAGCCCCUCAGUUGAAAGCUCCCAGGCCCCCUCCAGAGAAGCUUGGCUGCUUCCUGGCCGAGCUCACCUGGAAACUGCUCUCCAGUCCUUUAUGUGGCUACCUUGCCAGCUGCUCCCUGGUGCCAAGAGGAGAAGGAUCAAGGAUGAUGUCUGGCCGCAGGAAGGCAGUGACAGUGUCAUUACCCAGCUCCGUGCUGCCCCAGGACAGCCGGACCAGCACUCUGCCCACCCACAGCCCGCAUGGCCUGCAGCUGGUCACCUCUAGAAAAGAAAAGAAAAUGUCUGGCAGAGGGGAUGCACUUAUAGUGCCUGAAGAAAACACGACAGAGAACAACACUUCUUCAUGAACCAAAAGGCCCAGGGGUCCCCACACACGGAGGUGGUGACCAGUGUCGGCUCCCAGAGGCUAACGGGGAGAAAUGUGAUUCGUGGCAGGAGGUGUAAUGAGGAUAAAACGUGAGGUAUCUUCUCAAAAAUUUCCUCCCCAAGAAAGCUGUUUCCAGAUCAGUAUUGUCUAACUUCAAGCAUUCGGAACCCUCUCAAAUGCCCCCCAUUCCUGGGGAGCAUGUAGGCAGCUCUUAAGAGACAUGCAUUCGGA